CUCGGCCAGCCCCAGAGAGGGGCCCCCUCAGCGCAGCGGCGGGCUGAAGGGCUGCUGGAGCGCGGCCAGAGCGGACGCCGAGGCCGAGGAGGCGCCGAGAGCGAGUGAGAGCUGCUAGCCAGUUGUCACCUCUCACAGAGAGAAGCUUUAGGGGCCGGAUCCUGAUACAGAGCAGACACCUCCAGAGUUCUUUCCAACGCGUGAUUACCUCAAGCCUGGAAUCCACUCUUGACUAGAGAUUGACUGGAAGAUUGACUGCAAUUGAUUUGUAACCUGGUUGGGCCCAUCCUGGCACGGGUUCCUUCACUAGAUGGAAUAAUAAUUCAAAACAAGUCAUCGGAGCAGGUUGCACCGCCUGACACCUCCUAAGCCGUUUGUUUCUCCUGCAUUCCAAACCUCUCGCUUUAAAAACCCCUGCAUUCCCUCCACAAAUUAAAGAGUGGAAAUGUUUGGAAAGAAUUCCGCCCAGUCUUGCCCUUGCUACCACAGAUAAUAAAGCUUGCUCUCUUUCUAUCACACCUCGCUCUUGUUAUUUUGGCGUCUUUCUCCAAGCAGCAAGCAGCUGGACCCUUUUGCCUGUUACAAGUCUUUAAAUAGGGUAGUUUUCAAAUGUCUUCCUCAGU
RNAcentral lists this long non-coding RNA (623 nucleotides) under Homo sapiens (human). RNAcentral's name for it is "HSALNT0309974". The record is from RNAcentral. Lineage: Eukaryota; Metazoa; Chordata; Mammalia; Primates; Hominidae.